Molecule: ribosomal RNA, 504 nt
Filed under: uncultured bacterium
Lineage: Bacteria
Description: bacterial SSU rRNA
Rfam family: Bacterial small subunit ribosomal RNA
Source: RNAcentral
AGUGAACGCUGGCGGCAGGCCUAACACAUGCAAGUCGAGCGGCAGCGCGGGGGCAACCCUGGCGGCGAGCGGCGGACGGGUGAGGAAUGCAUCGGAAUCUACCUCGUUGUGGGGGAUAACCUCGGGAAACCGGGACUAAUACCGCAUACGACCUACGGGUGAAAGUGGGGGACCUUCGGGCCUCACGCGAUGAGAUGAGCCGAUGCCGGAUUAGCUAGUUGGCGGGGUAAAGGCCCACCAAGGCGACGAUCCGUAGCUGGUCUGAGAGGAUGAUCAGCCACACUGGAACUGAGACACGGUCCAGACUCCUACGGGAGGCAGCAGUGGGGAAUAUUGGACAAUGGGCGCAAGCCUGAUCCAGCCAUGCCGCGUGUGUGAAGAAGGCCUUCGGGUUGUAAAGCACUUUGUUGGGGAAGAAACCGGCCGGAUUAAUACUUCGGCUGAAUGACGGUACCCAAAGAAUAAGCACCGGCUAACUUCGUGCCAGCAGCCGCGGUAAGCACG